This is a long non-coding RNA of Passer montanus (Eurasian tree sparrow), 1577 nucleotides long. RefSeq lists it as uncharacterized. The record is from RefSeq and is a predicted model, not a curated record. The transcript has 3 exons. Lineage: Eukaryota; Metazoa; Chordata; Aves; Passeriformes; Passeridae.
GGGGUAGAUGGUCGUGUGAGGGACAGUGAGGGUGCAUGAGUAUGUACCGUGAGGGGGGAUGUCCCGUGAGGGGCUGCAAGGGUGAGGCAGUUGUGCAAAGGACAGGAAGGAGUCAUCUGGCCGUGCAGAAGAAAGUGAGGAGUCAGCAUUGCCCAUGAGAACUCACAGAGAAGGUGUGAAGGUUUUACAGUAAGGACUACAUGUUGCCUUUCUGCUCAGCUAAGAGAUGGAAAGCCUUUCAACUGACCUCAGCAGGCUGAAAUGAAGAAAUGAGUUACUGAGGCUCCAGUAAGUGGUCAGAAAGUGAAUGCAACAGAGGACUGAAGCAGGUGCAAGAAUGUGAGAAGCCAGACUUUGCAGAAACAUGUUCCUAAUGUACUGGAAAAUUGGACAUUUGAAGCAGCUGAAGAGCAGGUAUGCACUGAGCUUGACAAGAUACUAUUCAUGUUGCUUAGGGCUGAGUCAGACACAUUUAACUGCCACUGAUUUCUUAAGAGCUCCAAUUCAAGUCAGUGUCUGCAGGAGCAUGUAAGGGCUGCAGGCACGGGCUCUAUGCUACUAGCAGUCACAUUUUGGGACUUUAUUAAGACUCAGAUUUGCUGAACAGACUGUACUGCAAAACCAUGCUAAUUAGCAUCUAAAAUUCUUGGACAACUGCCACAGAUUCCUGGAAGCUGUCUACACCACCAGCAAAAUUGUUUUAGAGAUGCUGAUUGCCUGAAAUAAUUUGGGGCAUAACUUGUUCUUUUGCAGUGAUUUUUAUUGUAUCCAUGUAGUCAUCCUGGCUUUUGACAAACCCUGUUGGUGUGUACCUGAGAGCUGUUCUCAGGGGUCUUGGAGGCAGUGCUUCUCCAAAGGUUGAACCAGUGGGUUUGUUCUAGAGUCUAACCUGAACUGCUUGGGAUGAUGCUGGAUAGGAAGUGUUUCAGUGUGUCUUUUUCACAGGUUGUAUCAAUUUUCUGUGGUAGUGCACUCUUUGGUGAGUUGGUGAAGGGAUGUUAGCAAGGCAGAGUCACAGUAAUUAAUUUCUUAUUUAUCUCUGCAGUAAGGUUAAAAUUUCCAUCUGCUCCCACAGUUUACAUCAACCUCAUCAAAGAGUUUCAGCCAUUCAGUCAAGGCUGUAGCCUCACUCAACUUGGGUCAAGCAAUGAUUCAAUGAUAAUAUGGUACAGUCAACAUGAGACUUGCACCUGUUUGGUUCAAUUCCACUCCCUAAGAUGUUACUGUUUCUAGUUUACUUCUGUAGCCUAGAAAAUGACCUGUAGAUUUUUGAGGCCCAAAUCCCAUCCCUGAGUGAUUCAGGAGAGGCCAGACCCCACUUUAAGAGAUAAACCAUACUGUAAAGCAAAAGGGCACUCUGAUCUGUCAUCUCAUGUUCUCCCCUCAUUUGGUGGAUUGCGUUUGCUGUAUCCAAAAUCCUGAACUCUGCAGCAGAGACAGGAGCCCAAGGCUUAUCCUAGGUGCAUGAAGCACUGGGAUUAGGUGGAGACUUCCCUUUAAACCUUCCUCAAGCUCACUCUUAGCUGCGUAUGGACAGCCAAUAUAUCUAAGUAUCGUACCUUGAUUAAGCAAAAGCC